RNAcentral lists this small nucleolar RNA (126 nucleotides) under Spermophilus dauricus (Daurian ground squirrel). RNAcentral describes it as "Small nucleolar RNA SNORA42/SNORA80 family (ENSSDAG00000012175.1)". The record is from RNAcentral. Lineage: Eukaryota; Metazoa; Chordata; Mammalia; Rodentia; Sciuridae.
GUUAUGUCCUUUUCAUUGUUUCCCUGCUAGCACCUCUGACACCUUCAUUGACUUGAGUCAGGGUGACCAGAAGCUCUGCCUGACCUCUGCCUUUAGGCUGCUGGCACUGAAACAGGUUGCACAGUG